This 497-nucleotide ribosomal RNA is filed under the name uncultured bacterium. RNAcentral describes it as "partial 16S ribosomal RNA". It matches the Rfam family "Bacterial small subunit ribosomal RNA", at positions 28 to 507 of the family's 1533-position model. The record is from RNAcentral.
GAUGAACGCUGGCGGCGUGCCUAAUACAUGCAAGUCGAGCGAACGGACGAGAAGCUUGCUUUUCUGAUGUUAGCGGCGGACGGGUGAGUAACACGUGGAUAACCUACCUAUAAGACUGGGAUAACUUCGGGAAACCGGAGCUAAUACCGGAUAAUAUUUUGAACCGCAUGGUUCAAAAGUGAAAGACGGUCUUGCUGUCACUUAUAGAUGGAUCCGCGCUGCAUUAGCUAGUUGGUAAGGUAACGGCUUACCAAGGCAACGAUGCAUAGCCGACCUGAGAGGGGGAACCGCCACACUGGGACUGAGACACGGUCCAGACUCCUACGGGAGGCAGCAGUAGGGAAUCUUCCGCAAUGGGCGAAAGCCUGACGGAGCAACGCCGCGUGAGUGAUGAAGGUCUUCGGAUCGUAAAACUCCGUUAUUAGGGAAGAACAUAUGUGUAAGUAACUGUGCACAUCUUGACGGUACCUAAUCAGAAAGCCACGGCUAACUACGUG